AGCGCAGGCGGGAUGGCAAGUUGGGCGUGAAAACUAUGGGCUUAACCCAUAGACUGCGCUCAAAACUGCUGUUCUUGAGUGAUGGAGAGGUAGGCGGAAUUCCCGGUGUAGCGGUGGAAUGCGUAGAUAUCGGGAGGAACACCAGUGGCGAAGGCGGCCUACUGGACAUCAACUGACGCUGAGGCUCGAAAGUAUGGGAGCAAACA
RNAcentral lists this ribosomal RNA (206 nucleotides) under uncultured bacterium. RNAcentral describes it as "partial 16S ribosomal RNA". It matches the Rfam family "Bacterial small subunit ribosomal RNA", at positions 568 to 774 of the family's 1533-position model. The record is from RNAcentral.